This 1602-nucleotide long non-coding RNA is filed under the name Homo sapiens (human). RNAcentral describes it as "HSALNT0386942". Lineage: Eukaryota; Metazoa; Chordata; Mammalia; Primates; Hominidae. The record is from RNAcentral.
UACAGGGGUGAGUCAUAUUUUUUUAUUAUAACACAUGGGAUAUUUGCAAUUUUUUUUGGAAAAUACUACUGCAUCACAAAGACAAAAUAAGCCUUUAUAAUGAUAAUGCUUAUUCUGGUUGUCUCUAGCUCAGUUGUCUAUAGGCGGCUCAAGGGCACACAUCGGACCCUGUUGGUACAGGAGGGCUGGGAUGUGGGGCGAAUGGUGACUGGGAGAUGGGCAGCUUUUCCUUCUCAUGACUCAGGACCCUGAACCUCAAAUUCAAGGAUCCAAUAAUGGAACUCAAUGGCAGAGUGGUAACAAAAUUGUGAGCCUGCUAGAGACAACCUGACAGGGUGUCUGAUACAGAGAGGGUUCAGCCUGCUGCAGACAGUGCCCCUCGGCACCCAAUGAGCUUAAAAAAUGUGUUCCAUUUGUCAGUUGGGGUGCCUCGAACUCUGGCAGGCCCAGGUUAUCAUGCAAAUGUGUUCAGUGGAAGAAGGCAUGAAAUCAUUCUCAGAGAUGAAUGGGGCUGCUCAGCGGACCUGGGAGAGGAGGGCUCUGCCCAGUAAGACUCCUGCACAUCCUCAGGAGAUCUGGCCACACCUCCCACUGAGAGAAGGCACUCACAGGAGGUUCAAGGCACAGCCUGGGCCUAAGGGCCCAGGGACAACUCAGGACACCGGGCAGUUUGAAGACAGGCAGCCCCAUAACUUCUGCCAGAAAAUCCAGACAUUGAGUGUAAUUCGUUUUGGUGUCUUUACAUUUCAAGCUCAUUUAUCCAGGUCAGGAACCAUUUAGUUUGCAUCUAACAAGUCGAGGCCUGUGCAGCAUCCUUCUAACAUAUGGCCUGUUCAUCCUGCCUCUGAGCAUCUGUCACAGCCAUGUUUUGGGAGGAGGCUGACUCGGCCAGUUUCGCAUCGUCAGCUGGCAGGGGCAAUCCCACUGUGCAGCUGCUUGAAGAGGGGCACAUGGCCUGGCCCAGUCCCCUUGGCUUCCCCGGCCCCCCAAAACCUGCUUUUUAGAGAAAGAAAGGGGGGCACCUGGCAGGCCACUUGUGAGUCACUCAUCUCCUGGGAAAUGUUCCAGGCGCCACUUGGAGGAGAUCACUCUGGAAAGCUCCCUGAUGCCCAGCAAGCCCAUCACCAUGGCAACCUAUCCAUCCUGAGCUGCUCUUCCCUUGGGCCUCCAGAAAGGAGGCUGACUGAGGUGAUGCAAGUUUCUCUGAGCACAGCCACCUUGCACCUUAUAUGAACACAGACUCAGCCUACUCACCAGCUUUCUGAGACCACAAACAACAAAAGCUGGCUGCAUAGGAGGGAGAGAGGCCCCAAGGAGGGGCUCUGUCGUGCGACCCUGCUGGACUUCUCCAUCCCAGUUUCCUUGCUGGAGUCAACUUGCCUGUGCACAAAGAUUGCAUCUGCCUUACAUGCCAUCAGUAGGAAUCCAUUCAGGAGAAAGAGAGAUCAGAAGAGAAGCCCGAGUGGAAAUGAGAACAAGCUGCGAAGGGGCCUGGCAUUCCAGUCACUCUAGUGAGCCGCCUCCUCUAGGUCUUCGGGGCAAGGCUGGCUGCAGAAAGAGCCUCUUGGCCCCGGAAAAUUCACACCCAGGUUGGUCAGCUAU